GUUUGACCUCGGAUCAGGUAGGGAUACCCGCUGAACUUAAGCAUAUC
This 47-nucleotide ribosomal RNA is filed under the name Curvularia australiensis. RNAcentral describes it as "partial 28S ribosomal RNA". RNAcentral also lists the same sequence under 11 other names. Lineage: Eukaryota; Fungi; Ascomycota; Dothideomycetes; Pleosporales; Pleosporaceae. The record is from RNAcentral.